Drosophila albomicans is the source of this 288-nucleotide long non-coding RNA. RefSeq lists it as uncharacterized. The record is from RefSeq and is a predicted model, not a curated record. NCBI's taxonomy places the organism in Eukaryota, Metazoa, Arthropoda, Insecta, Diptera, Drosophilidae. The transcript has 3 exons.
CCAAACAGCACAGUGCUUUUAUUUAUGAAUAUGAAUCAUUAUUGUUCCCAGAAUAUACAACUGUCCGAAUAAGAAUAUUAUUGUAAUACUAAUUUUUUUAUUGAUCAAAGGAAGGCCUGCAACUUCAAAUAGUGUCUCGCAAUUUCGACCCGCAAGCCAAGAUUGUCAACAUGAAUCUGAUUUUCUCUUAUGCACUGAAAUCGCAGUUAUGGACACGCUUAUGGAUACUGAGGCCUCUCUUGGUUGGGAAUGCCCUGAUGCAUUCGUCGCACUUGAAUGGCCCAACCU